GGCCUGUUGGAGAAGUGGCUUAACUCACCGCCCUCUCAAGGCGGCAUUCGCCGGUUCGAAUCCGGUACAGGCUACCA
RNAcentral lists this transfer RNA (77 nucleotides) under bacterium. RNAcentral's name for it is "tRNA-Glu". It matches the Rfam family "tRNA". Rfam says of the family: Transfer RNA (tRNA) molecules are approximately 80 nucleotides in length. Their secondary structure includes four short double-helical elements and three loops (D, anti-codon, and T loops). The record is from RNAcentral.